Molecule: unclassified non-coding RNA, 204 nt
Filed under: Hevea brasiliensis (rubber tree)
Lineage: Eukaryota; Viridiplantae; Streptophyta; Magnoliopsida; Malpighiales; Euphorbiaceae
Source: RNAcentral
GCUAGCAAAGCCCUCUUUCAGCUCUGCAGGGCUUUCCCUUGGCCUGACCAACACGGCGACCGACGGGAAGGGAGAGAUGACCAACUUCGCCAUCCUCGGCGGUGGUGGCAGCGCCGACCGCGGCAAGGACGACGAGAACGACAGCCGCUCCGGCGGCAGUGACAACGCCGAAGGCGCCGGCUCCGGCGAUGCCACCACCGCCGA